Small nuclear RNA from Mesocricetus auratus (golden hamster), 91 nucleotides. The record is from Ensembl. NCBI's taxonomy places the organism in Eukaryota, Metazoa, Chordata, Mammalia, Rodentia, Cricetidae.
GACAUAUACUAUAAUUGGAAUGACACAGAGAAGAUUAGCAUGGCCCCAGCUCAAGGAUGACCCAAAAAUAGGUGGAACAUUCCAUAAUUUU